UACGUAGGUGGCAAGCGUUGUCCGGAUUCACUGGGCGUAAAGCGCGCGCAGGCGGUCUUCUACGUCUGGGGUGAAAACCCGGGGCUCAACCCCGGGACUGCCUUGGAUACGGGGAGACUUGAGGAUCGGAGAGGCAAGGGGAAUUCCACGUGUAGCGGUGAAAUGCGUAGAGAUGUGGAGGAACACCGAUGGCGAAGGCAGCCUCCUGGGCUAGUACUGACGCUCAUGCACGAAAGCGUGGGGAGCAAACAGG
This 253-nucleotide ribosomal RNA is filed under the name uncultured bacterium. Its description in RNAcentral is "partial 16S ribosomal RNA". It matches the Rfam family "Bacterial small subunit ribosomal RNA", at positions 524 to 776 of the family's 1533-position model. The record is from RNAcentral.